UUCGUGGGUAUCAAUUUUCGUGGUUUGAGCAAUAUUUACAUGUUCGUGGGUUUUUUAAUUCGUGGAUUUUAGUUUUCUAAAAAAAAAAUAAUUAAUAAAUUAAAGCCUUUAUGAACGAAGGUUACAAAUAGUCUGGAUUGAAGGAAAUUGCAAAGUAAACAUUGACCCGUGUAAAUCGUAGUGACAAUACUAAUUAAUCCAUGAUAAA
This 208-nucleotide long non-coding RNA is filed under the name Mytilus galloprovincialis (Mediterranean mussel). The record is from RNAcentral. Lineage: Eukaryota; Metazoa; Mollusca; Bivalvia; Mytilida; Mytilidae.